AACGAACGCUGGCGGCAUGCCUAACACAUGCAAGUCGAACGGGAUCCUAGCUUGCUAGGUGAGGGUGGCGGACGGGUGAGUAACACGUGGGAAUCUGCCUUUUGGUUCGGGAUAACCGCGGGAAACUGCGGCUAAUACCGAAUGCCCUCGAGAGAGGAAAGAUUUAUCGCCAGAAGAGGAGCCCGCGUCCGAUUAGGUAGUUGGUGGGGUAAAGGCCUACCAAGCCGACGAUCGGUAGCUGGUCUGAGAGGAUGAUCAGCCACACUGGGACUGAGAUACGGCCCAGACUCCUACGGGAGGCAGCAGUGGGGAAUAUUGGACAAUGGGGGCAACCCUGAUCCAGCAAUGCCGCGUGAGUGAUGAAGGCCUUAGGGUUGUAAAGCUCUUUUGCCAGGGAAGAUGAUGACUGUACCUGGAGAAUAAGCCCCGGCUAACUUCGUGCCAGCAGCCGCGGUAAU
RNAcentral lists this ribosomal RNA (458 nucleotides) under uncultured bacterium. Its description in RNAcentral is "bacterial SSU rRNA". It matches the Rfam family "Bacterial small subunit ribosomal RNA", at positions 29 to 524 of the family's 1533-position model. The record is from RNAcentral.